GGAGAGUUGUCCGAGUGGUCGAUGGUGCAGCACUCGAAAUGCUGUGUCCCGCAAGGGACCUAGGGUUCGAAUCCCUAACUCUCCGCCA
Molecule: transfer RNA, 88 nt
Filed under: Clostridium sp. MSTE9
Lineage: Bacteria; Bacillati; Bacillota; Clostridia; Eubacteriales; Clostridiaceae
Also listed under: 1 other name
Description: tRNA-Ser
Rfam family: tRNA
About the family: Transfer RNA (tRNA) molecules are approximately 80 nucleotides in length. Their secondary structure includes four short double-helical elements and three loops (D, anti-codon, and T loops).
Source: RNAcentral